This 69-nucleotide transfer RNA is filed under the name Ictidomys tridecemlineatus (thirteen-lined ground squirrel). RNAcentral describes it as "Spermophilus tridecemlineatus (thirteen-lined ground squirrel) tRNA". It matches the Rfam family "tRNA". Rfam says of the family: Transfer RNA (tRNA) molecules are approximately 80 nucleotides in length. Their secondary structure includes four short double-helical elements and three loops (D, anti-codon, and T loops). Further hydrogen bonds mediate the characteristic L-shaped molecular structure. tRNAs have two regions of fundamental functional importance: the anti-codon, which is responsible for specific mRNA codon recognition, and the 3' end, to which the tRNAs corresponding amino acid is attached (by aminoacyl-tRNA synthetases). tRNAs cope with the degeneracy of the genetic code in two manners: having more than one tRNA (with a specific anti-codon) for a particular amino acid; and 'wobble' base-pairing, i.e. permitting non-standard base-pairing at the 3rd anti-codon position. Lineage: Eukaryota; Metazoa; Chordata; Mammalia; Rodentia; Sciuridae. The record is from Rfam by way of RNAcentral.
GGAGUUGUGGCUCAGUGGCAGAGCACUUGCUUAGCACUCGUGAGGCACUGGGUUCAAUUCCCAGCACCA